Unclassified non-coding RNA from Chrysemys picta bellii (western painted turtle), 181 nucleotides. NCBI's taxonomy places the organism in Eukaryota, Metazoa, Chordata, Testudines, Emydidae. The record is from Ensembl.
GUGAAAGAUACCAGCUUGACAGCGGUUUUCUAUUUAUACAAAGCAGAGGUAAAGUCCAGGCACUGGUAGUGCAAGCUUCCUCACACUGCCUGACAAAUGUGCCUCAAGCCCGAACUGGAAGGACCACCAAAAGCAGUGAAAAGAAAGCUCAGCCUCCAUGUCUAGUCAAGUCUCAGCUUGU